UACGUAGGGUGCAAGCGUUGUCCGGAAUUAUUGGGCGUAAAGAGCUCGUAGGCGGUCUGUCGCGUCUGCUGUGAAAACUCGGGGCUUAACCCCGGGCCUGCAGUGGGUACGGGCAGACUAGAGUGCGGUAGGGGGGACUGGAAUUCCUGGUGUAGCGGUGAAAUGCGCAGAUAUCAGGAGGAACACCGGUGGCGAAGGCGGGUCUCUGGGCCGUAACUGACGCUGAGGAGCGAAAGCAUGGGGAGCGAACAGG
RNAcentral lists this ribosomal RNA (253 nucleotides) under uncultured bacterium. RNAcentral describes it as "partial 16S ribosomal RNA". It matches the Rfam family "Bacterial small subunit ribosomal RNA", at positions 524 to 776 of the family's 1533-position model. The record is from RNAcentral.